This 482-nucleotide ribosomal RNA is filed under the name uncultured bacterium. RNAcentral's name for it is "partial 16S ribosomal RNA". It matches the Rfam family "Bacterial small subunit ribosomal RNA", at positions 30 to 507 of the family's 1533-position model. The record is from RNAcentral.
AUUGAACGCUGGCGGCAUGCCUUACACAUGCAAGUCGAACGGUAACAGGUCUUCGGAUGCUGACGAGUGGCGAACGGGUGCGUAAUACAUCGGAACGUGCCCGAUCGUGGGGGAUAACGAGGCGAAAGCUUUGCUAAUACCGCAUACGAUCUACGGAUGAAAGCGGGGGAUCUUCGGACCUCGCGCGGACGGAGCGGCCGAUGGCAGAUUAGGUAGUUGGUGGGAUAAAAGCUUACCAAGCCGACGAUCUGUAGCUGGUCUGAGUGGAUGAUCAGCCACACUGGGACUGAGACACGGCCCAGACUCCUACGGGAGGCAGCAGUGGGGAAUUUUGGACAAUGGGCGAAAGCCUGAUCCAGCCAUGCCGCGUGCAGGAUGAAGGCCUUUGGGUUGUAAACUGCUUUUGUACGGAACGAAAAGCCUCUUUCUAAUAAAGAGGGGUCAUGACGGUACCGUAAGAAUAAGCACCGGCUAACUACGUG